RNAcentral lists this ribosomal RNA (2924 nucleotides) under Escherichia coli. RNAcentral's name for it is "bacterial LSU rRNA". It matches the Rfam family "Bacterial large subunit ribosomal RNA". Lineage: Bacteria; Pseudomonadati; Pseudomonadota; Gammaproteobacteria; Enterobacterales; Enterobacteriaceae. The record is from RNAcentral.
GGGUUGUGAGGUUAAGCGACUAAGCGUACACGGUGGAUGCCCUGGCAGUCAGAGGCGAUGAAGGACGUGCUAAUCUGCGAUAAGCGUCGGUAAGGUGAUAUGAACCGUUAUAACCGGCGAUUUCCGAAUGGGGAAACCCAGUGUGUUUCGACACACUAUCAUUAACUGAAUCCAUAGGUUAAUGAGGCGAACCGGGGGAACUGAAACAUCUAAGUACCCCGAGGAAAAGAAAUCAACCGAGAUUCCCCCAGUAGCGGCGAGCGAACGGGGAGGAGCCCAGAGCCUGAAUCAGUGUGUGUGUUAGUGGAAGCGUCUGGAAAGGCGCGCGAUACAGGGUGACAGCCCCGUACACAAAAAUGCACAUGCUGUGAGCUCGAUGAGUAGGGCGGGACACGUGGUAUCCUGUCUGAAUAUGGGGGGACCAUCCUCCAAGGCUAAAUACUCCUGACUGACCGAUAGUGAACCAGUACCGUGAGGGAAAGGCGAAAAGAACCCCGGCGAGGGGAGUGAAAAAGAACCUGAAACCGUGUACGUACAAGCAGUGGGAGCACGCUUAGGCGUGUGACUGCGUACCUUUUGUAUAAUGGGUCAGCGACUUAUAUUCUGUAGCAAGGUUAACCGAAUAGGGGAGCCGAAGGGAAACCGAGUCUUAACUGGGCGUUAAGUUGCAGGGUAUAGACCCGAAACCCGGUGAUCUAGCCAUGGGCAGGUUGAAGGUUGGGUAACACUAACUGGAGGACCGAACCGACUAAUGUUGAAAAAUUAGCGGAUGACUUGUGGCUGGGGGUGAAAGGCCAAUCAAACCGGGAGAUAGCUGGUUCUCCCCGAAAGCUAUUUAGGUAGCGCCUCGUGAAUUCAUCUCCGGGGGUAGAGCACUGUUUCGGCAAGGGGGUCAUCCCGACUUACCAACCCGAUGCAAACUGCGAAUACCGGAGAAUGUUAUCACGGGAGACACACGGCGGGUGCUAACGUCCGUCGUGAAGAGGGAAACAACCCAGACCGCCAGCUAAGGUCCCAAAGUCAUGGUUAAGUGGGAAACGAUGUGGGAAGGCCCAGACAGCCAGGAUGUUGGCUUAGAAGCAGCCAUCAUUUAAAGAAAGCGUAAUAGCUCACUGGUCGAGUCGGCCUGCGCGGAAGAUGUAACGGGGCUAAACCAUGCACCGAAGCUGCGGCAGCGACACUGUGUGUUGUUGGGUAGGGGAGCGUUCUGUAAGCCUGUGAAGGUGUGCUGUGAGGCAUGCUGGAGGUAUCAGAAGUGCGAAUGCUGACAUAAGUAACGAUAAAGCGGGUGAAAAGCCCGCUCGCCGGAAGACCAAGGGUUCCUGUCCAACGUUAAUCGGGGCAGGGUGAGUCGACCCCUAAGGCGAGGCCGAAAGGCGUAGUCGAUGGGAAACAGGUUAAUAUUCCUGUACUUGGUGUUACUGCGAAGGGGGGACGGAGAAGGCUAUGUUGGCCGGGCGACGGUUGUCCCGGUUUAAGCGUGUAGGCUGGUUUUCCAGGCAAAUCCGGAAAAUCAAGGCUGAGGCGUGAUGACGAGGCACUACGGUGCUGAAGCAACAAAUGCCCUGCUUCCAGGAAAAGCCUCUAAGCAUCAGGUAACAUCAAAUCGUACCCCAAACCGACACAGGUGGUCAGGUAGAGAAUACCAAGGCGCUUGAGAGAACUCGGGUGAAGGAACUAGGCAAAAUGGUGCCGUAACUUCGGGAGAAGGCACGCUGAUAUGUAGGUGAAGCGACUUGCUCGUGGAGCUGAAAUCAGUCGAAGAUACCAGCUGGCUGCAACUGUUUAUUAAAAACACAGCACUGUGCAAACACGAAAGUGGACGUAUACGGUGUGACGCCUGCCCGGUGCCGGAAGGUUAAUUGAUGGGGUCAGCGCAAGCGAAGCUCUUGAUCGAAGCCCCGGUAAACGGCGGCCGUAACUAUAACGGUCCUAAGGUAGCGAAAUUCCUUGUCGGGUAAGUUCCGACCUGCACGAAUGGCGUAAUGAUGGCCAGGCUGUCUCCACCCGAGACUCAGUGAAAUUGAACUCGCUGUGAAGAUGCAGUGUACCCGCGGCAAGACGGAAAGACCCCGUGAACCUUUACUAUAGCUUGACACUGAACAUUGAGCCUUGAUGUGUAGGAUAGGUGGGAGGCUUUGAAGUGUGGACGCCAGUCUGCAUGGAGCCGACCUUGAAAUACCACCCUUUAAUGUUUGAUGUUCUAACGUUGACCCGUAAUCCGGGUUGCGGACAGUGUCUGGUGGGUAGUUUGACUGGGGCGGUCUCCUCCUAAAGAGUAACGGAGGAGCACGAAGGUUGGCUAAUCCUGGUCGGACAUCAGGAGGUUAGUGCAAUGGCAUAAGCCAGCUUGACUGCGAGCGUGACGGCGCGAGCAGGUGCGAAAGCAGGUCAUAGUGAUCCGGUGGUUCUGAAUGGAAGGGCCAUCGCUCAACGGAUAAAAGGUACUCCGGGGAUAACAGGCUGAUACCGCCCAAGAGUUCAUAUCGACGGCGGUGUUUGGCACCUCGAUGUCGGCUCAUCACAUCCUGGGGCUGAAGUAGGUCCCAAGGGUAUGGCUGUUCGCCAUUUAAAGUGGUACGCGAGCUGGGUUUAGAACGUCGUGAGACAGUUCGGUCCCUAUCUGCCGUGGGCGCUGGAGAACUGAGGGGGGCUGCUCCUAGUACGAGAGGACCGGAGUGGACGCAUCACUGGUGUUCGGGUUGUCAUGCCAAUGGCACUGCCCGGUAGCUAAAUGCGGAAGAGAUAAGUGCUGAAAGCAUCUAAGCACGAAACUUGCCCCGAGAUGAGUUCUCCCUGACUCCUUGAGAGUCCUGAAGGAACGUUGAAGACGACGACGUUGAUAGGCCGGGUGUGUAAGCGCAGCGAUGCGUUGAGCUAACCGGUACUAAUGAACCGUGAGGCUUAACCUUACAACGCCGAAG